Long non-coding RNA from Oncorhynchus nerka (sockeye salmon), 2233 nucleotides. RefSeq lists it as uncharacterized. The record is from RefSeq and is a predicted model, not a curated record. Lineage: Eukaryota; Metazoa; Chordata; Actinopteri; Salmoniformes; Salmonidae. The transcript has 5 exons.
UAUGAACUCAACCACCAAUGCAAAUAAUCACAAAUGAGUUUGACAGGCUAAAGGGUAUGUGAGCUUUUCACUAACUGUACGCCAGUGAAGUGAUUCUGGGCCUCCCGCUGACUAUGAAGACAACACACAAGGUUGAGGCUCUCGGGGCUUUAAUGUGCUGCUCCAGGGCCAGUACGAUGCAGUUGGCGAUGAUGGUGGCCAGGAUCAAGUACUCAAACGGAGUGUGCAGGUUAAGGAACACAAGCCAUGACAAAGAAUUGCAUGCACGGUAAAAGAAAAGAAACACUAACUCCGACAUGUUAUUGUCCUGGCCCUGCUGAAAGGUGAAUUUGUCUCCCAGUGUUUGUGGGACCUGAGCCCUAGGACCAUGCCCCAGGACUACCUGACAUGAUGACUCCUUGCUGUCCCCAGUCCACCUGGCCAUGCUGCUGCUCCAGUUUCAACUGGCCUGGGCCCUAGGACCAUGUCCCAGGACUACCUGACAUGAUGACUCCUUGCUGUCCCCAGUCCACCUGGCCAUGCUGCUGCUCCAGUUUCAACUGUUCUGCCUUACUAUUAUUCAACCAUGCUGGUCAUUUAUGAACAUUUGAACAUCUUGGCCACGUUCUGUUAUAAUCUCCACCCGGCACAGCCAGAAGAGGACUGGCCACCCCACAUAUGCUCUCUCUAAUUCUCUCUUUCUCUCUCUCUCGGAGGACCUGAGCCCUAGGACCGUGCCCCAGGACUACCUGACAUGAUGACUCCUUGCUGUCCCCAGUCCACCUGACUGUGCUGCUGCUCCAGUUUCAACUGUUCUGCCUUAUUAUUAUUCGACCAUGCUGGUCAUUUAUGAACAUUUGAACAUCUUGGUCAUGUUCUGUUAUAAUCUCUACCCGGCACAGCCAGAAGAGGACUGGCCACCCCACAUAGCCUGGUUCCUCUCUAGGUUUCUUCCUAGGUUUUGGCCUUUCUAGGGAGUUUUUCCUAGCCACCGUGCUUUUACACCUGCAUUGUUUGCUGUUUGGGGUUUUAGGCUGGGUUUCUGUACAGCACUUUGAGAUAUCAGCUGAUGUACGAAGGGCUAUAUAAAUAAAUUUGAUUUGAUUUGAUUUUUGAAAUGUCAUACAGUGUUGUAAUGACAUGCAAACAGUUAAAACACAAAAGGGAAAAUAUGUUGUAUUUACAAUGGUGUUUGUCUUCACAAGCAACUGAGCAUAUUUAUGCUUGCAAUAACAAAGUGGUUGAAUACUUGACAAGAUGUCUUUUCAGUUUUAAUUCAUUUGUAAACAUAAUUCCACUGACAUGGGAUAUUGGGUGUAGGCGAGUGACAAAAAAAAAAUCUAAAUGGAAUACAUUUUAAAUUCAGACUAACAACACAACAAAAUGUGGAAAAAGGUCAAGCAGUGGGAAUACUUUGAAGGCACCAUCUGCCUCAAGCUUCUGUCUCCAGGUAUUUCUCAGGCUUCCUCUUAAAAUCUUCUCUUCCGAAAAUCCUCAUCCCCCCGGAACCUGUCUGGUGUGCCCCACCACACUCAUUAUGCUCUUAAUAAAACCUGGCAGCCAUAUCCAUUAGUAGUAAAUUUAUUGAAAGAUACAACCAAUUCGAUGGAUGUUGCACAGUCCAGAAAUAUGUAACAGAAAGUAAAUUUUGUAUAACCUUUUUAUAUUCAUACCUUUGAAAAAUGUGCACAAGAGUCACUACUGUACUAACCACAUUAAAUACAUAGGAAUAAUGUGUAGGUUUCCAUCAACAUGAAAUGGUGUAACAAAAUUGAAACAGGCUAAACUACAGUAACUACAGAUACAAAACUGAAGUUAAAUGUAAAAAGAAAAAUAAUUUGCUUAAUUUUACAAUGCAAAAUCAACAAAAGGAAAAGAAAACAUUGGCAGCAGAAUACUUGCAUCUCACCCCAUUAACAGUCAACCCCAAUGCAGUCCCUCCAGAAUUGUGUAAAAUGUAUUUAAAACUUAAUAUUCAAGGUGUCAGCCUUAGAACAUGCUUAAAAAUCCUGCAGAUAAAAAAUACAAAUCCACCCGCUUUAAUUUUGUAGGUACAGUAUAGUACAUAACUGUACAGCUUAGUCAACUCCCACCUCAACCCUUUUGCAAUCUUCAUACCCUUACAGUUGGUCAAUUUGAUGUCACACCACCUUUCAUAUAUGCACAUACUGUUUCCAGAACAAAAGUAUUUAAUAGAAGAGGACCAUUGUGUUGAAGAGGAAUUCAUGCCAGAACUGACAGAAUCUGCCACUCC